This 421-nucleotide ribosomal RNA is filed under the name uncultured bacterium. Its description in RNAcentral is "bacterial SSU rRNA". It matches the Rfam family "Bacterial small subunit ribosomal RNA", at positions 356 to 774 of the family's 1533-position model. The record is from RNAcentral.
GAGGAAUAUUGGGCAAUGCCCGCAAGGGUGACCCAGCAACGCCGCGUGGAGGAUGAAUGUCGUAAGAUUGUAAACUCCUGUUAGAGGGGAAGAAUAGUACCGGUUGGACCGGUAUAUGACUGUACCCUACGAGAAAGCCCCGGCUAACUACGUUCCAGCAGCCGCGGUAAUACGUAGCGGGCAAGCGUUGUCCGGAUUUACUGGGGGUAAAGGGCGCGCAGGCGGGAUAAAAAGUCAGUGGUGAAAUCCUACAGCUUAACUUUAGAACUGCCUGUAAUACUUUUAGUCUUGAGUUCGGGAGAGAGAGAGCGAAUUCCAGGUGUAGUGGUGAAAUACGGAGAUAUAUGGAAGAAUACCAGUUGCGAAGGCGGUCUCUUGGUCCGACACUGACGCUGAUGCGCGAAAGCGUGGGGAGCAAACA